AGUAUGAGGACUGCGAUAGCAGGUUACUGUGAUAUAGUAAACUUUGGGGCCACCCCCAUGCUA
Molecule: transfer RNA, 63 nt
Filed under: Eurylepta cornuta
Lineage: Eukaryota; Metazoa; Platyhelminthes; Polycladida; Euryleptidae
Description: tRNA-Ile
Source: RNAcentral